Hevea brasiliensis (rubber tree) is the source of this 2514-nucleotide RNA transcript. RefSeq lists it as uncharacterized. The transcript has 5 exons. NCBI's taxonomy places the organism in Eukaryota, Viridiplantae, Streptophyta, Magnoliopsida, Malpighiales, Euphorbiaceae. The record is from RefSeq and is a predicted model, not a curated record.
AAAUAAUGAUUAAAAAAAAAAUUCAAACAGGAGAUUCGGGCAAGGAGCAGAGCCUUGAAGAAGGAGCAGCGCCAUCGGGGAAGGGAGGCUGCUUGGCAGAGCAUCGGAUGGGGAAGGAAGCAGAGACCAGACCUCCCAUCGCCGGCACGCUGCCCCACCAGCUAUGAUAACAAGGAAAUUGCCUUGAACUGUGGACUUACGUUAAGGGAGUGCAUCAAAUUUCCAACGCUUGCUAAUGAUUUUUCAGAUACAUAUUAGAGUCUGCAAGCUUUGAAUUGUUCUUCAAAUUUGUGGAAUUGCCAAACUUUGAUGCUGCUUGUGAUGCUUUCUCUACUUUGAAGGUCAGAUGUAUGAGUUUGUAAGUUCCAGUUUCUUUAUGUUUACCUGUUAGUUUUUAAGCCUCCAGUUAUCCAUACUUUACAUAGUCUUUAAGCGUCCAGUUAUGCACUUUUUACAUGUUUGUAAAUAGAUGGUUGCCAGGAUUUGCUUACUAAACAUGGCACCGUGGUUGCUGAAUUUCUUACCGCACACUAUGAUGAGUUCUUUUAUCUGUAUGAAAAUCUGUUGACAUCUCCUAAUUAUGUGACAAGAAGGCAAUCAUUGAAGGUUAGUUUCUACUAUAAGUUCUUAAAUUCUACACUGCCGUUGUUUUGAUCCGUAAGUUAACAGGACUACGUAGUGGAUUUAGCUUCUCUCGGAAUUCCUUUUGGAGGCUCCAAAUUCUCAUAUAAUGAAGCACUAUGUUUUAGAAGUUCGAUACUUAAAAGUCAUGAUGACAUUGCUGAAGGCAUGGCAAUUUUCAUUUUCAUUCUAUUUCUUACAUCUUAAUUUUGGAUUUUUUUUGUUUGACGAAUUGGAUAUGUUGUACAUGGAUUAGAUGGGUGUUUUGAAGCAAUUGUACCAUAUAGCUGAUAGCUAUUAAAGUUAGAAUCCUGACUGAGCUCAAAAAAGCCCAAAAAGACAUGAAAUUAGAGAGCUAAAAGCCUUGAACAAGAAGGGGCCUCUCUGAUUCUAAUGUUUUGUUUUGAUUACUGAGAGUGGAACCCCCUUAAUAUCAUGUGAAAAUACAUGAGGCCGCAAUUGGAAUUAUAUAAUUUUUAGUAACAGGAUAACUCUCUGUAUCUUUUGCUCUCCCAUAAUCAGGUUUGUAUGUCUUUUAGUUCUGUUCUACAAACAGUAGUAGUUCUAAUGUCUAUUUGAUCCCUUAGUAUAAAGAAACUAAACAAUCUCAUCAGAAUUGGCACCUGGGCGUAUCUAUCUGCUGGCUUUCCAGUUUAUUCUAGCGGAAAAGUUUACUCCCCAUUUGUGUUCUAUGCGUCACACAAGAAUUCUUGAAUGCUUUUUUCAUGGGAAGUCAUUACAAUUUUGAUUCUGAACUAGCUUGAGAGCUGUUAAAUGAUUUGAGUAUGAUGCUAUACCUAUUCUCAGGACACAAAAUUAUGGAGGGUUUCACUGCUUCUCGUGGGAUGGAUUAAUGUGUGAAGUGAAGUAUUUCUAUAUAUAGGAAAGUAAAAAUGUUUUGGUUACUCGCAGUCUGAGUUUUUAAAUAUCCAAUAUGCAGUUUAGCCAUCAAAGCUUCAUGCUUUUUACCUGUCUGUCUGAUAAGAUGCUAAGAUUGUCUCACUUUGCCUUCUUGGUGUGUUACAGACUUGAAGUGGUAUUUGAUACUUCUGUGAGCUCAUGGAUAUCUUGAGCUAUAAUAGAUUUUUUUUUCCUUUUGAAUAUAUAUUUGAAUCAUUUAUAAUUACUAAUUUGUAGUGUGACCAUUUUAUCUACUUUGUUUCUGGCUGUGAGCAGGACUCGAGCAAAAAAAUUCAGAUCUCAGCUUUCCACAUUUUCAAGCUUGGAUAAUAGUUUGCAGCAGAAAUUGUCAUCCAUGGAUCUCAUUCAGAGUUUUCAAUCCCUUGGUCUUCACUCAGGUUUUUGUUGCUAAUCCUAACAAGCCACCAGAUAUAAAAGUAAUUUUGGCAAAAGCUAAUGAAAGAUUGGUGGAACUGCUUAGUAAUCUCUCUGUUGGAAAAGGCAAGUACAAUUAUGAUAUUGUCCUGCUACACUGCUACCAGAUAUGUACAAGUGGCAAAUGGAUCUCCCCUUGAAAUAAUGUUAUUAAAUGAUUGUUCUGUGCAAAAUUUUGUAAUUUUUCCUGUGUUCAUCCUCCAUUUCAGGUGCUGAGGGUGAGCAAUUUGAAGAGGAAAAAGAACUGAUAAUCAGUUAAAUUAAGAGACUAUCACGUCAGCCAAUUUUGGAUAGUUGGGUCCUUAUCUUAGUAACAGUUUUUUCCAUUUUUUAUAGAGAUAUCACCUUGCGGUUCAUGCUAAUUCUAUACGAUGACCUGCAAUUGUGGUUUGCCAAUAAGUAGUUUUCAGGGAGUUUCAAGCACUAGUGGGAGAGAGAUGUGAUUGUAAUUUCACCUAAGUCAUAACGAGUAAAUAUUGUUCUUCGAUCUAACGAGUCUAAAAAUUGUUGUUUUUGAGUGGUCGAAGGCAUUAUAUAUAUGGAGUUUUUUUUUUCUUU